UUGGUCUCGUCUCUCUUUCUCGGCCGUUUCUUUUUUUUUCAGGUAGAGACCCCCUCGAAUUCCCCCUACGAAUAAUCCAGUCCCGAGGGCAGGACAGGGUGGCACCCAGACGUGGGGCUCGAGGAACAGACCCUCUACCAGAUGGAGAAUUAGAGAAGACCCCGGGUCGACUAGUUUUUGUGGCGCGCGCAAAACCGAAAGUGAGGAUCGCCAUCCGCAGCUCAUAGAACGUGCGCUCCCGAAACUCACGGAAAAAGACAUGUAAGAAAAAUGUUUCCCACGCUGGUCUUGCUGAGGUUCCGCACUCUUGUGUCCUGCUCCUCCAUUCAUCAGAUUUUCAAUUAUACAUGGCUGGUCAUCAAUCAAGCAGGUAGAGACCUCCUCGAAUUCCCCCCAUGAAUAAUCCAGUCCCUCGGGCCGGACACUACUGUUGCAUUGACUGUCCAGAGUAGGUAAAAAGGCUUAAUAUUUCUUCCUGUUGUUAUGCUACUGUUGUAUUGACUGUCCAGAGUUUUAACCUUUAUCAAUAGGGUUUGAAUUUAUUAAUCUGACUCUGAUACAAAAACAUUCCACUAUACCACGUACUAUUAUGGUUCUAAGCUCAAGAUUGCAAGCCUCCAUAAUGUGUAUGCUUAUACUAAAAGUUAAGAUCAAAUGAGUUUCCCUUUUACUUCAUAAAAGGCUUUUGCCUUUUCAGACCUCACCUUAAAAAAUACUUAUGCUAUUAACACAAAUUUGUAUGUCUACUGCCUUUUUCUCAAUACAGAGUACAAUUGUGAUACUAACAUGUCUAAAGUUUUAUCUCCUUCUUAAAACUUAAAAGUAAUUCUUGUAAGCUGCAGAAAGUCCACCUAAAUCCACCUCUCAGGUCAAUUGGACUCCAGAUAAGUACUGCACUUAUUGCCUAUCUCAAAAGGUGGGACUCCUCCCCUUUCCCUGGUUUUGGGACUUCCUUUCCUGGCUACCAGACUGCUAUUUACUGCAUGCAACCACUGGCUGGAUUAGUGAGUUCUCCUUAUUGAUCAGCCACUAGAUUGGUGACUUCACUCAAUUUUCUCAGCAUAUACGCCUCUCUUGGUAGGGGAAGCUUGACCGCAGAGCUCCGGCAACUUCGUACUAUCUUUUGAGAUGGAGUGAAAAUCCCCCCAGCCGUAGCCUUAACUGUCUAGGUUUGACCCCCUAUGCUGACCUCCAUUUUAGGGCCUCACUCUCCCUUGAGCAGUAUGUCCCCUCUCGCACACGGUUCCUUCUCCCCCUCUCUCGCUCGCUCAUGGGAAGACCUAGCACUAGGCAAACCAUCAUGCCGUGGCCGAGCCCCACUGGGCACCGUGCCCCGGUCCCUGGCCAAAAGCUGAUGAGCUAUUGGACCAGGUAGCACCUCUCUUGCUCGGAGUCACACCUUGCCAUUGGGACACCUCUGGAAGGUUGCUGACUUCUCUACCCCCAAUGGGAGAUGCCCAGAUGCCCGUCCCUCCAGAUAGGAUGUCCUCUGGAGAAUUUUAAGUUUCUACACCUAGUGCCAGCUGGUACCAGGGCCUCUAAGUAUAUAUGCUUCUGUAACCAAACCUCACCUCAAUGACAGAUAGAAAACAAAGCCUUCUUUAAAUAUUGCCAGUGAUUGGGUAAAUAAAGGUCCCCCCCAGGUAGACAGGGGUUCCCAUGUACAAGCAUCAUCGAUCCAAACCUUCUAUUCCUGUUUGCUCUCCCAAAAAUUUUCAAUGUAUACUUACAGGAUUUUCUCCAUACCUACUCUAUCUUUUGCCUAUAUAUGUGUUUCAGUGUCCUGCCAGACACAGAUGUUUCCUAUAGCCACAACAGUGCCAAAGCAUCUGCAGGUGUUCAACUCUGACCUCACAGACUUCCAACAGGCUGGACCUGCACCUUCCCUCUGUUCUCGAAGACCCUGGAAAGCAUCAAAACAGCCUAUUCUUCCUGGACUUGGCUGACAUUUCAGCCUUUUGGCCUCCCUACAGCGCCCCCAGUGUCAGCAGAAGUAGCCAGAAGAGAAUCUACACCCGUUAUUCACUUGUUGUUAACAAAAGGCUGAAAUGGUGUGCUUCAGGACCAGGACAAGCAGCUCCAGGUUCUCCCAGCACUCCCCAGCCCCUACCUGCUGCCUUGCAUGGCUGGCAACUCUCUCUAUUGACAACUCUCUAUACUAAAGGGCAGAAGCUUCCCUUACUCUUGACCUUGCAAUCUGACUGUUUUGUUGCUAUAAUCUUCUCUCUCUCAAACUCUUGCAUGACAACCAAGAGCUGCUUCCAAUGAGCCUAAAUUUAUAUGCUUUAACUUACCUUAUAAAAAGCAGCCCAAGCUUCCCAUUUUUUAAUUAUAGAAAAAGGGAGGAAUGUUAGUAUUUUGGAACACAACCUGCUUCUGGGUUACCCAGCAACUUAUGAUGUCAUCAUGUGUCGCCAGCCAGGUGGCCACACCCGGAAGGCGUGGUUACCUUGCCCCUUAGAGGGCUAACCCCAACAUGUGGUCUCUCUCUUACACUCUUUACCUCUCUUACACUCUUACUCUCUCUCACUCUUACUCUCUCUCUCUCUCUCUCUCUCUCUCGGGAUGCCCCCUUUUCCCCUUCCCUUUUCUCUCUCUCUCAUGUCCUGCUUCCCCCUUCCUCCAUACCCUCCUAAUAAACUUCUUGCAGAGAAUAUCGGUUGAAACCAGCCUCAUUGCUUUUUUUAAUAAAUAAUAACACCCUCACAGUCGUAAUAUUACUACUUACUGUUGGGCCAUGUUUGCUGCCGGAGCCAGUCAGCAGAGUCGAACGGUUCUUGAGUCGGGAGUGAGGAUUAAUAUUAAUAAAAUAAACACACAGCACACAGGAAACUUUUUAAAGGUCCAGACUCGACAGCCACAGCAAAAGGCAGGCUGCCGCAGCAAGCAGCACAAGCAGCAAGUCUCAAGUCUCUGCCUCCAGCCCUCUGACCUCUUUAUUUGUGAGGAGUUACUUUUAGCCAGUAAAACAUCUCAGAACAAUGGGUUAAUUUUCACAAGAUGCCUGAGGAAGAGGUGUGACCCUCACAAGCUAUCCCACCUGCUGUCACAAACAAAAGGAGAUGGACUUGUAAGUUCUUUUCUGCCAUUAGUAAAGGCCUGCUAAAAGCCAUCUCUCCGCCGAGAUUUAAAUAUCAAAGCAGGCCGCUGGAGUCACGGCUCCCAACAGUUUGCUGAACCAGUUAAUGACCUACUUCAGGCAGAGACUGGGGACUAUCCAGGUAAUGGUGCUCCACUCACAGUACCAACACCUGACCACAACUGAAAACAACACCAACUCAUAAAUUCCCCUUCCCUUCAAAAUAAUAACUCUGUUUCUAGUCUGUGUCUAGUCUGACAGGUUUAUUCUCCAUGGAAGCACCUGCGACUCUGUGUAAGCUGAUGGACUCAAUAGGACUCAUCUUAGACUGAUACCGGAAACUUCAGCUUUGUCAACAGCCUCACGGUCAGCAUUGAAGCAGCUAUAGAAGACAAGAUCCACAGCCCCUGGUCCCACUUAGCAGCUGAAAAUGAUAUAACCCCCCCCCCAAUACCAAGCUAAAUGGCGCAUCUCGAAAUUUUCCUCUUGAAAAGGAGGAAAUGAGAGGUUCAAAAACUUAGAGUUAAUUCCUGGGACUGGGGCAAAAUCACCAGAUCACAGUCUUUUCAGAGCAGAGGUCCAGAAGCAGUCCCCCACCCAGAUUAACCUUAGGGUGUGACUAGGGUCAUGUAGCUCCUAAGAAAGCCCAUGGAAUGUGUUAACUCCUCCUCCCCCUUGCUACACCCUAACCUGCACGUACGGGGGGGGGGGGGGUGUUAGGUGUCCCCCAGGUAGCCAGACCUAACCAUUUGCAGUUUUGGCACCUAAAAAUAAACCAAUCAUUUUAAAGGUCAGCUCCCCUAGAGACCCUUUCACCCAAUCCUGUAAUGCCAAGACCUGCACUUCCCAGCUUGGGUUUUGUCCCCUUAAAAGCCCUGUUCCCCCAGAGUUGGGGGUCGCUUGCACCUUUGAUCUUGUAAAGGGCAGCCACCCAGCUCGAGUUUGUAAUAAAGGACCCUUGUGUGUUUUA
Molecule: long non-coding RNA, 4049 nt
Organism: Psammomys obesus (fat sand rat)
Lineage: Eukaryota; Metazoa; Chordata; Mammalia; Rodentia; Muridae
Exons: 3
Source: RefSeq, a predicted model, not a curated record